GGCGAAAGGGUGAGUAACACGUGGGCAACCUACCUCUAAGUUGGGGAUGACAUCGCGAAAGUGGUGCUAAUACCGAAUGUGGUUGCCGUUCGCAUGAACGGCGUACCAAAGCUGGGGAUUCUUCGGAACCUGGCGCUUGAAGAUGGGCCCGCGUACCAUCAGCUAGUUGGUGAGGUAAUGGCUCACCAAGGCUUACGGUUAGCUGGUCUGAGAGGACGACCAGCCACAUUGGGACUGAGAUACUGCCCAGACUCCUGCGGGAGGCUGCAGUCGAGGAUCUUUUGCAAUGGGCGCAAGCCUGACAAAGCGACGCUGCGUGGAGGAUGAAGGCCUUCGGGUUGUAAACUCCUGUCAUUCGGGAAUAAUAGCCAAUGAAUUAAUACUUCAAUGGCUUGACGGUACCGGAAGAGGAAGCCACGGCUAACUCUGUGCCAGCAGCCGCGGUAAUACAGAGGUGGCGAGCGUUGUUCGGAUUUACUGGGCGUAAAGGGCGCGUAGGUGGUUUUGUGUGUCGGAUGUGAAAUCCCAUCGCUCAACGAUGGAACUGCAUUCGAAACUGCAAAGCUUGAGUUCAGGAGAGGAGAGCGGAAUUCUUGGUGUAGCGGUGAAAUGCGCUGAUAUCAAGAAGAACACCGGUGGCGAAGGCGGCUCUCUGGAAUGAUACUGACACUGAGGCGCGAAAGUUGGGGGAGCAAACAGGUUUAGAUACCCUGGUAGUCCCAACUGUAAACGGUGUGCAUUUGGUGUAGGGGUGUUGACCCCCCUGUGCCGGAGCGAACGCGUUAAAUGCACCGCCUGGGGAGUACGGUCGCAAGACUAAAACUCAAAGAAAUUGACGGGGGCCCGCACAAGCGGAGGAGCAUGUGGCUUAAUUCGAUGCAACGCGAAGAGCCUACCAGGGCUUGACAUGUAACUGCAUUCCUGCUGAAAGGCGGGAAGCCUUCGAGGGUGUUACACAGGUGCUGCAUGGCUGUCGUCAGUUCGUGCCGUGAGGUGUUGGGUUAAGUCCCGCAACGAACGCAACCCCUAUGUUUAGUUGCUACUCGGCGAAAGUCGAAGCACUCUAGACAGACUGCCCUUAGUGGAGGAAGGUGGGGACGACGUCAAGCCAGUAUGGCCUUUAUGCCCUGGGCCGCACACGUGCUACAAUGGCAGGUACAAUGGGACGCAAGACCGCGAGGUGGAGCAAAUCCAUAAAGCCUGCCCCAGUUCGGAUUGGAGUCUGAAAUUCGACUCCAUGAAGUCGGAUUCGCUAGUAAUGGCGCAUCAGCUACGGCGCCGUGAAUACGUUCCCGGGCCUUGUACACACCGCCCGUCACAUCAUGAAAGCCGUCUGCACCCAAAGUCGUCGAGCCAACCCUAACGGGAGGCAAGCGCCUAAGGUGUGGGU
Molecule: ribosomal RNA, 1390 nt
Filed under: metagenome
Description: bacterial SSU rRNA
Rfam family: Bacterial small subunit ribosomal RNA
Source: RNAcentral